This 264-nucleotide signal recognition particle RNA is filed under the name Candidatus Gallimonas gallistercoris. RNAcentral describes it as "signal recognition particle sRNA large type". It matches the Rfam family "Bacterial large signal recognition particle RNA". From Rfam's summary of the family: The signal recognition particle (SRP) is a universally conserved ribonucleoprotein involved in the co-translational targeting of proteins to membranes. Archaeal SRP consists of a 7S RNA and homologues of the eukaryotic SRP19 and SRP54 proteins. The record is from RNAcentral. Lineage: Bacteria; Bacillati; Bacillota; Clostridia.
CUGUGAUAGGCGGGGAGUUAGCGGUGCCCUGUAUCUGCAAUCCGCUAUAGCAGAGCCGAAUGCUUUUCUCGGUGCAGUACAUGGAAGGCUGCGCGGAGUAAGGAAUGUCGAUCGCAAGGUCUUAUGCAACGCAUCUCUGCGAACCGUGUCAGGGUAGGGAUACAGCAGCACUAAACAGCUCGGUGCGUGUGCCAUGAGGUAGCUUUGCGCUAGUUACCUGCUUCGUUUCCGCUUCGGUGUGCUGCAACAAAAAAAGCUUCACAG